Non-coding RNA from Paramuricea clavata, 78 nucleotides. The record is from the annotation of a GenBank genome assembly. NCBI's taxonomy places the organism in Eukaryota, Metazoa, Cnidaria, Anthozoa, Malacalcyonacea, Plexauridae.
GACCGCGCAGCUCAGUUGGCAGAGCAUUGAGCUAGCAUUCCAAGGCAAAGGUUGUAGGUUCGAUUCCCACCGUGGCCA